RNAcentral lists this ribosomal RNA (374 nucleotides) under uncultured organism. RNAcentral describes it as "partial 16S ribosomal RNA". It matches the Rfam family "Bacterial small subunit ribosomal RNA", at positions 527 to 896 of the family's 1533-position model. The record is from RNAcentral.
GUAGGUGGCAAGCGUUGUCCGGAAUUAUUGGGCGUAAAGCGCGCGCAGGCGGUUCUUUAAGUCUGAUGUGAAACGCCCACGGCUCAACCGUGGAGGGUCAUUGGAAACUGGAGAACUUGAGUACAGAAGAGGAAAGCGGAAUUCCACGUGUAGCGGUGAAAUGCGUAGAGAUGUGGAGGAACACCAGUGGCGAAGGCGGCUUUUCUGGUCUGUAACUGACGCUGAGGCGCGAAAGCGUGGGGAGCAAACAGGGAUUAGAUACCCUGGUAGUCCACGCCGUAAACGAUGAGUGCUAAGUGUAGGGGGGUUUCCGCCCCCUUAGUGCUGCAGCUAACGCAUUAAGCACUCCGCCUGGGGAUACGGCCGCAAGGCUG